This 75-nucleotide transfer RNA is filed under the name Acidobacteriota bacterium. RNAcentral's name for it is "Acidobacteria bacterium tRNA-Val". It matches the Rfam family "tRNA". Rfam says of the family: Transfer RNA (tRNA) molecules are approximately 80 nucleotides in length. RNAcentral also lists the same sequence under 2 other names. Lineage: Bacteria; Pseudomonadati; Acidobacteriota. The record is from RNAcentral.
GCGGGGUUAGCUCAGCGGUAGAGCAUCUGCCUUACACGCAGGGGGCCACUGGUUCGAAUCCAGUACCCCGCACCA